GUGAGCUGUGAAAGCCUUCUGCUUAACCGGAGUAGUGCAUUGGAAGCUGGGAGACUUGAGUGCAGAAGAGGAGAGUGGUACUCCAUGUGUAGCGGUGAAAUGCGUAGAUAUAUGGAAGAACACCAGUGGCGAAAGCGGCUCUCUGGUCUGUAGCUGACGCUGAGGUUCGAAAGCGUGGGUAGCA
Molecule: ribosomal RNA, 184 nt
Filed under: uncultured bacterium
Lineage: Bacteria
Description: partial 16S ribosomal RNA
Rfam family: Bacterial small subunit ribosomal RNA
Source: RNAcentral